UACGAAGGUCCCAAGCGUUAUCCGGAUUUAUUGGGUUUAAAGGGUGCGUAGGCGGGUUAUUAAGUCAGUGGUGAAAGCCUUCAGCUUAACUGAAGAACUGCCAUUGAUACUGAUGAUCUUGAGUAUGAUUGAGGUUGGCGGAAUGUGUCAUGUAGCGGUGAAAUGCUUAGAUAUGACACAGAACACCGAUUGCGAAGGCAGCUAACUA
Molecule: ribosomal RNA, 208 nt
Filed under: uncultured bacterium
Lineage: Bacteria
Description: partial 16S ribosomal RNA
Rfam family: Bacterial small subunit ribosomal RNA
Source: RNAcentral